GGCGCACGGGUGAGUAACGCGUGGAAACCUACCCCGGGGUGGGGGAUAACCGCUGGAAACGGCGGCUAAUACCGCAUACGCCUUUUAAGGGAAAGAUUUAUCGCCCUGGGAUGGGUCCGCGUUAGAUUAGGUAGUUGGUGGGGUAAAGGCCUACCAAGCCGACGAUCUAUAGCUGGUCUGAGAGGAUGAUCAGCCACACUGGGACUGAGACACGGCCCAGACUCCUACGGGAGGCAGCAGUGGGGAAUCUUGGACAAUGGGGGCAACCCUGAUCCAGCCAUGCCGCGUGAGUGAAGAAGGCCUUAGGGUUGUAAAGCUCUUUCAACGGUGAAGAUGAUGACUGUAGCCGUAGAAGAAGCCCCGGCUAACUCCGUGCCAGCAGCCGCGGUAAUACGGAGGGGGCAAGCGUUGUUCGGAAUUACUGGGCGUAAAGGGCGUGUAGGCGGCUAUUCAAGUCAGGGGUGAAAGGCCUGGGCUCAACCUGGGAACUGCCUUUGAAACUGAAUGGCUUGAGACCGGAAGAGGAUGGCGGAAUUCC
RNAcentral lists this ribosomal RNA (538 nucleotides) under uncultured Alphaproteobacteria bacterium. RNAcentral describes it as "bacterial SSU rRNA". It matches the Rfam family "Bacterial small subunit ribosomal RNA", at positions 97 to 670 of the family's 1533-position model. The record is from RNAcentral. Lineage: Bacteria; Pseudomonadati; Pseudomonadota; Alphaproteobacteria.